AUCAAUGAGGGUGAGAGUCCUGUUUGUCAUGUGCAGCCUUCUGUGCACGGUGUAUAUUUGCUGAGUCACACUCCUUGGCAUUGGAAUGCAAAGUGGGUGGUAAGUUUCAUGCAAAGGUAAAUAUGCAAUUGAGACUGAUAGCGCACAAGUACCAUGAGGGACAUAUGAAAAGGACUUUGAAAAGAGAAUUAAAUGAGUUUGUAUUUGCUAAACACAAAGUAAACAGACUUGAUUUCCUCAGUGAGAUUGUAGUGCUUGCUUAACAAUGGGUUUUGGCUGCAAGUGCAAUAAUUCUUGCUUUGUGUGCCAGUUUUUAUGUGGACAUUUGAUUACCUUUGCACAUGAAUGGUAAUUUUCCUGCGGGGUGUGGAUUGCAUAUGCAUGUAAUGAUUUGCAUGUUUGUUAAAUGUGUCUGGUGUAUUUGUUUGUGUCCUUGUCCUUGAGGUUGCUUUCUCCCUUGGGCUUACAUGCCCUGGCACACACAUUCUGGCAAAAUGCUUCUGCUUGACCCGUCUUGAAACACGGACCAAGGAGUCUAACAGAUGUGCAAGUUUGAAGGUGGUAUACCUGUGUGUGUAAUGAAAGUAUUGGCUGGGAUAUUUGCACCAGCAGCCGACUAAUUAGCAGACAGAGGUUUGAGUUGGAGCAUAUCUAUUAGGACCCGAAAGAUGGUGAACUAUGCUUGAACAGAAAGAAUUCAGAGGAAACUCUGAUGGAGGUUCGUAUCGAUACUGACGUGCAAAUCGUUCGUCAUAUUUGGGUAUAGGGGCGAAAGACUAAUCGAACCAUCUAGUAGCUGGUUCCCUCCGAAGUUUCCCUCAGGAUAGCUGGAGUUGCACAGUUUUAUCAGGUAAAGCGAAUGAUUAGAGGAAUUGGGGACAGAUGUGUCCUUGACCUAUUCUCAAACUUUAAAUGGGUAAUAUGUAGUGGUUGCUUGAUGGAACUUCUAAAAUGAAUGGCAAUAUUAGGUGGGCCAUUUUUGGUAAGCAGAACUGGCGAUGAGGGAUGAACCUAAUGCUGGGUUAAGGUGC
Molecule: ribosomal RNA, 1031 nt
Filed under: Alexandrium pacificum
Lineage: Eukaryota; Dinophyceae; Gonyaulacales; Pyrocystaceae
Description: partial large subunit ribosomal RNA
Rfam family: Eukaryotic large subunit ribosomal RNA
Source: RNAcentral